This 497-nucleotide ribosomal RNA is filed under the name uncultured bacterium. RNAcentral describes it as "partial 16S ribosomal RNA". It matches the Rfam family "Bacterial small subunit ribosomal RNA", at positions 28 to 507 of the family's 1533-position model. The record is from RNAcentral.
GAUGAACGCUGGCGGCGUGCCUAAUACAUGCAAGUCGAGCGGACAGACGAGGAGCUUGCUCCUCUGACGUUAGCGGCGGACGGGUGAGUAACACGUGGAUAACCUACCUAUAAGACUGGGAUAACUUCGGGAAACCGGAGCUAAUACCGGAUAAUAUAUUGAACCGCAUGGUUCAAUAGUGAAAGACGGUUUUGCUGUCACUUAUAGAUGGAUCCGCGCCGCAUUAGCUAGUUGGUAAGGUAACGGCUUACCAAGGCGACGAUGCGUAGCCGACCUGAGAGGGUGAUCGGCCACACCGGAACUGAGACAGGGUCCAGACUACUACGGGAGGCAGCAGUAGGGAAUCUUCCGCAAUGGGCGAAAGCCUGACGGAGCAACGCCGCGUGAGUGAUGAAGGUCUUCGGAUCGUAAAACUCUGUUAUUAGGGAAGAACAAAUGUGUAAGUAACUAUGCACGUCUUGACGGUACCUAAUCAGAAAGCCACGGCUAACUACGUG